Molecule: ribosomal RNA, 440 nt
Filed under: uncultured bacterium
Lineage: Bacteria
Description: partial 16S ribosomal RNA
Rfam family: Bacterial small subunit ribosomal RNA
Source: RNAcentral
CCUACGGGAGACAGCAGUGGGGAAUAUUGCACAAUGGGGGAAACCCUGAUGCAGCGACGCCGCGUGAGUGAAGAAGUAAUUCGUUAUGUAAAGCUCUAUCAGCAGGGAAGAAAAUGACGGUACCUGAGUAAGAAGCCCCGGCUAACUACGUGCCAGCAGCCGCGGUAAUACGUAGGGGGCAAGCGUUAUCCGGAUUUACUGGGUGUAAAGGGAGCGUAGACGGCAGUGCAAGUCUGAAGUGAAAGGCGGGGGCUCAACCACCGGACUGCUCUGGAAACUGUACGGCUGGAGUGCAGGAGAGGUAAGUGGAAUUCCUAGUGUAGCGGUGAAAUGCGGAGAUAUUAGGAGGAACACCAGUGGCGAAGGCGGCUUACUGGACUGUAACUGACGUUGAGGCUCGAAAGCGUGGGGAGCAAACAGGAUUAGAUACCCCUGUAGUC